Heterocephalus glaber (naked mole-rat) is the source of this 459-nucleotide long non-coding RNA. Lineage: Eukaryota; Metazoa; Chordata; Mammalia; Rodentia; Bathyergidae. The record is from Ensembl.
UGGACAUUGGGUACCCAGUCACUACAGCGGGAUAAUAGGAUGACAAAAAUCAGAGACUCUUCUUCCAAAGGAUGACAGCGGACUUGAGGGGAUCAAGAUGAUCAAGCAGAGGAGCCUGGGGCCUUCAGCCUGUUCCUGCCUGGAAGUGUCCUCUUCUGAGCCCACCUGGCAAAAGAUUCCAUCUAGAAUGGCCAUGGAAGUUAGUCCUCAAGUCUUCUAAGUCAUGGAUCUGAGAGAGUUUCUCAGUCUCUCCUUGUUUUUUAUGACCUUGACAGUUUUAAAGAGUACCGCUCAGGUCAGCUUUCCUGUUGCUGGGACCAGCAAUUUAAGGGAGGAGAGGUUCACUGUGGCUCAGAGUUUCAGAGGUUUAGUCCAUGGUCAACUGCUCCUAAGGCAGAGACAUCACAAAGCAUGAUGGGGGAAAGCUUCUCAACUCAUGGGUGCCAGCAAGCAGAGCCA